UGUUCUUUAUAUAUUCUUCUUGUUCGGUAUAAAGAGGAUACAAACGGUUUCACAGAAUCAGGUCUUUGCUUUGACUUUGCUUAUCUACACAUCUAAAGGAAGAUCAUGAAGAUACAGGCUCUUGUGUUAGUGCUGGCUCUGGUGUUGUGCUGUGAAUCAAGCAUCGUGCCCACAGACAACCCUUGCCUUAAGAAGACUUGUCGCCAUGGGAAAACAUGCAUUUUGGUUUCCGUUGAGUGCUUAUACCCACCAUGCCCCCAGAUUGCUAAAUGUGUUAAACCUCAUCAAAAGGGAUAAUUUUUUUAAGAGCUGAAGCAGGUUCAUCACGUGACCUUCGUUCCGGGACGACUGACUGUGAAAUCGCUAUUCAAAAUGAGCUGCAAUAAAAUUCACUCAAAGUUUUAAAAAAUUCAAUGCAUUUAUUGUAAUUAGCUAAUAAACACUUAGAGGAUCCAAUAAAUGUUAUGGCGAA
This is a long non-coding RNA of Pomacea canaliculata, 472 nucleotides long. RefSeq lists it as uncharacterized. Lineage: Eukaryota; Metazoa; Mollusca; Gastropoda; Architaenioglossa; Ampullariidae. The record is from RefSeq and is a predicted model, not a curated record. The transcript has 4 exons.